Molecule: non-coding RNA, 52 nt
Organism: Macrostomum lignano
Lineage: Eukaryota; Metazoa; Platyhelminthes; Macrostomidae
Source: Rfam
UCUUCAUUCCACGAUUAAAUCUUUCGCCUUUUACUAAAGAUUUCCGUGGUGA